Molecule: RNase P RNA, 338 nt
Filed under: bacterium
Lineage: Bacteria
Description: RNase P RNA component class A
Rfam family: Bacterial RNase P class A
About the family: Ribonuclease P (RNase P) is a ubiquitous endoribonuclease, found in archaea, bacteria and eukarya as well as chloroplasts and mitochondria. Its best characterised activity is the generation of mature 5'-ends of tRNAs by cleaving the 5'-leader elements of precursor-tRNAs. Cellular RNase Ps are ribonucleoproteins.
Source: RNAcentral
CCAGAUCUUCGGCUAAUCGCCUGGGCAAAUUGCCUAGGAGGAAAGUCCGGGCAGCAAAGGGAAAGACAGUUGCUAACGGCAACCGGGGGUAACCCCAGGGAAAGUGCCACAGAAACGAAACCGCCUGAUUUCAGGUAAGGAUGAAACGAGUGGGGUAAGAGCUCACAGUCAUGCAUGGUGACAUGCAAGAGAGGUAAACCCUGUCUGCUGCAAGGAGAUAAGUCUCAUAUAGGUUCCCGCCGAGGCUUGUCACAAGAACCGCUUGAUCCGCCAAGCAAUUGGUGGACUAGAUAGAUGAUUAGCUAAAACAGAACCCGGCUUACGGAUUAUCUGGCAGU